UACGGAGGGUGCUAGCGUUGUUCGGAAUGACUGGGCGUAAAGCGCGCGUAGGCGGCCCUGCAAGUCGGGGGUGAAAGCCCGAGGCUCAACCUCGGAACUGCCUUCGAUACUGCGGGUCUCGAGUCCGGGAGAGGUGAGUGGAAUUCCUAGUGUAGAGGUGAAAUUCGUAGAUAUUAGGAAGAACACCAGUGGCGAAGGCGGCUCACUGGCCCGGUACUGACGCUGAGGCGCGAAAGCGUGGGGAGCAAACAGG
Molecule: ribosomal RNA, 253 nt
Filed under: uncultured bacterium
Lineage: Bacteria
Description: partial 16S ribosomal RNA
Rfam family: Bacterial small subunit ribosomal RNA
Source: RNAcentral